Molecule: ribosomal RNA, 368 nt
Filed under: uncultured bacterium
Lineage: Bacteria
Description: bacterial SSU rRNA
Rfam family: Bacterial small subunit ribosomal RNA
Source: RNAcentral
AAUCAACGCUGGCGGCGCGCUUAACACAUGCAAGUCGAACGGGAAAGUGGGCAACCAUGAGUACAGUGGCGUACGGGUGAGUAACACGUGGGUGAUCUACCUCUUAGUGGGGAAUAACUUUGGGAACCGAAGCUAAUACCGCAUAAGCUCGAGAGAGGAAAGCAGCAAUGCGCUGAGAGAGGAGCCCGCGGCCGAUUAGCUAGUUGGUAGGGUAAGAGCCUACCAAGGCAGAGAUCGGUAGCCGGCCUGAGAGGGCACACGGCCACACUGGCACUGAAACACGGGCCAGACUCCUACGGGAGGCAGCAGGUGGGGAAUCUUGCACAAUGGGGGAAACCCUGAUACAGCGACGCCGCGUGAGCGAUGAA